GCCCUGGUUGUGUAAUGGUUUAACACACCCCAGUUACAUUCUGAAGCUUCCGUGAACCAUUCUAGGGGAACUCCUGGUUCGACUCCAGGCCGGGGCG
Mycena crocata is the source of this 97-nucleotide non-coding RNA. The record is from the annotation of a GenBank genome assembly. NCBI's taxonomy places the organism in Eukaryota, Fungi, Basidiomycota, Agaricomycetes, Agaricales, Mycenaceae.